Long non-coding RNA from Hibiscus syriacus, 166 nucleotides. RefSeq lists it as uncharacterized. The transcript is spliced from 3 exons. The record is from RefSeq and is a predicted model, not a curated record. NCBI's taxonomy places the organism in Eukaryota, Viridiplantae, Streptophyta, Magnoliopsida, Malvales, Malvaceae.
GUUCGUGCUCAUUUCUUGUUUCUUAAUAAACAUAAAAUAUGUAGGUUAAUGUAAAUACCUCCAUUUGAUCACCCAUGAGGAUUAGGAGUGCUUCAGGUAGAGUGGGGACUGUAAACCAAUGCUGAUUUUGGAGAAUUUGAAGGCCUUCAACUUCAUCUUGCAAGAU